Molecule: ribosomal RNA, 368 nt
Filed under: Monoctonia japonica
Lineage: Eukaryota; Metazoa; Arthropoda; Insecta; Hymenoptera; Braconidae
Description: partial 28S ribosomal RNA
Source: RNAcentral
GUAGGACAUCGCAACCCGUUAGAUAUUGAUUUACGGCCAAAUUGGGUAGCCUUUAAUCGAAUAAUAUCAAUUAAAGACCAAUUUGUGUUUCCUAAUCAAAUAUCUGACGGUAUUCGUAUGGUAUUAAGUCGCAAAUAUAAUAUAUAUAUGCGUUCUUAUCCGUCGCAAGUGAGGCCAGUUUAAUAUUAUCUAGUAGUUACGGACUUAGUACCGUCACUAGACCUGGCCAACUGUUAGCUGUUACGGUAUUCUAGAACUGACUUAAAAUAUAAUUAAUACCGGUUGGCGAUGCUACUGCUUUGGGUACUUUCAGGACCCGUCUUGAAACACGGACCAAGGAGUCUAACAUGUACGCAAGUCAUUGGGAU